CACUGAGUUUUUCCCGUUUGGAAAGGAGAGCAGAGCACGUGAAGGAGGGGACCACCACAAGACCACCAGCGACGGCAACAGAACAAAACAACGCAGGGCUCGGGGACACUUCUAGAGGCUGCGGAGCGAAUCCACGAGCCGAUGGCGGUGCGUAGACAGCUGCCGCCCCUCACCGAGCCCCGCCGCCCGCCCCAAGGCGCAGUUCUCACACCGUUCUGACGGACGGACGGGGACCGACGAGGAGAGGAGCCGGGCUUCGCGCCCGCCGCUCGGGAAUGAUGAGGAAGACAGCCAAGAAGCAGAUGAGAAGAUGAAGAAAGCAAUAAAGGAAGAAAGAUGAAAGUCAGAGCUGAGAUAUGUCAGUGUGGUCACACUGGCUCUCACAUUUUCUGCAGAGACCAGGAAAGAGUAUUAUCAUCUGAGCAUCUUUGUGGAAAUUCUGAUUAAAUUGAAGCCACAUUACACCGUCACACAGGGAGAUAUAAUCUAGCACAUCCCAUCAUACUGCUUGUCUUAUUUAAGAGAUUGCAGUUCAUUGCUUUAGUAGAGUCUUCUCAGAGGCUCACUGUGAGGGCAAAUCUUUGGCAGGUAUCUCAAUAUGUACUGAAAACUCAUCCUGGGAAACGUGGGUUUCCUACAAACAUGUAUUGUGUGGUUUGCUGGGGUGGAUGAACUGAACCCACCCUUUUUAAGUGGUCUAGGAUAACAACUGAAGCUGGAGUGUGACUCAGCCCAGGCCAAAACAGCCCUCUUCUACCUCUGCUUGACCUCUUCUUGCAUGGGAAAACUCUGCUUUGUGUAACAACAUGCCAGGAGCCAAGAAGCAAUAAAUAGAAUUGUUAUGGUUCCAAA
Molecule: long non-coding RNA, 852 nt
Organism: Numida meleagris (helmeted guineafowl)
Lineage: Eukaryota; Metazoa; Chordata; Aves; Galliformes; Numididae
Exons: 2
Source: RefSeq, a predicted model, not a curated record